This 73-nucleotide transfer RNA is filed under the name Parcubacteria group bacterium. RNAcentral's name for it is "tRNA-Pro". It matches the Rfam family "tRNA". From Rfam's summary of the family: Transfer RNA (tRNA) molecules are approximately 80 nucleotides in length. The record is from RNAcentral.
CGGGCUGUGGCGCAGUGGCUAGCGCGUCUGCUUUGGGAGCAGAAGGCCGUGGGUUCAAGUCCCACCAGCCCGA